UGGGGAAUUUUGGACAAUGGGCGCAAGCCUGAUCCAGCCAUGCCGCGUGCGGGAAGAAGGCCUUCGGGUUGUAAACCGCUUUUGUCAGGGAAGAAAUCUUCUGAGUUAAUACCUCGGGAGGAUGACGGUACCUGAAGAAUAAGCACCGGCUAACUACGUGCCAGCAGCCGCGGUAAUACGUAGGGUGCAAGCGUUAAUCGGAAUUACUGGGCGUAAAGCGUGCGCAGGCGGUUUUGUAAGACAGAGGUGAAAUCCCCGGGCUCAACCUGGGAACUGCCUUUGUGACUGCAAGGCUUGAGUGCGGCAGAGGGGGGAUGGAAUUCCGCGUGUAGCAGUGAAAUGCGUAGAUAUGCGGAGGAACACCGAUGGCGAAGGCAAUCCCCUGGGCCUGCACUGACGCUC
Molecule: ribosomal RNA, 402 nt
Filed under: uncultured bacterium
Lineage: Bacteria
Description: partial 16S ribosomal RNA
Rfam family: Bacterial small subunit ribosomal RNA
Source: RNAcentral